AUACGGAGGGUGCAAGCGUUACUCGGAAUCACUGGGCGUAAAGCGCGCGCAGGCGGCUUGAUAAGUUGGAUGUGAAAGCCUACGGCUCAACCGUAGAACUGCAUCCAAAACUGUCAGGCUAGAGUGUGGGAGAGGAAGAUGGAAUUAGUUGUGUAGGGGUAAAAUCCGUAGAGAUAACUAGGAAUACCAAAAGCGAAGGCAAUCUUCUGGAACACUACUGACGCUGAGGCACGAAGGCGUGGGGAGCAAACAGGAUUAGAAACCCGAGUAGUCC
RNAcentral lists this ribosomal RNA (274 nucleotides) under uncultured bacterium. RNAcentral describes it as "partial 16S ribosomal RNA". It matches the Rfam family "Bacterial small subunit ribosomal RNA", at positions 523 to 796 of the family's 1533-position model. The record is from RNAcentral.